UGAAAAAACUGCCACCUCAAUCUACUGCUACACAAAGGUGCUACCGAGGGCAGGUGACAGGCAGCAGCAGUGUUGCACUGUGUUGCACAUGAUGUAGAUGUGUUCUUCCUGGGAUCCUGAGGCACCCAAGCUCCACAACUUGACCUGUGAACUUGGAGAGGAGGUUGCGGUGAACCUGGCCACAUAACCACGUGAAGCUAGGAGGAAGACAAGUGUACCCCCUGCAUUGCUGUAGCUGCAGUUCAGGGAUAUUCCCACCCCGUAUGUCUACGGCACUACAGUUAUAUUGCAAACGUUUAAUCUGGAACAGAAGGACUCGGUUCUUAGCUGAGCUCAGCCCUGAAUUGACCCAUCUGUUAGUGCUGCCUGCUGGUGGGAUAACCUCCGCAUGAGAAACCUGCCUCACCUGAACCAAUGCUCCUGCCAAAGGACCCCAGUGUUAGAUGGCUCUGUGGAGGCUGGUGGCUUUCAGAGUGGCAGCUGGGAGCUGACCCUGAGAAUCAAGGUCUGUGCUUUCCACCGUCUUAAUUUUGGCUUCUUUAGGAACACUGAGUUCAUGCACUACCUAACUACAAACUAUUACCUAACAUAAUUCUCAUAGGAUGGGCCAGUAUACACAGAGACAGCAAAAAGAAGUACAGCAUCCUAACCCCCCCACUACAGACACUGGCAAUAAAAAUUGAGAAGAAAACUUUAACUAAAGCAUGCCUGCACUUGUGCAGACUAGAGUGGAACAGCCUUCAGAAGCUUCUCAGCUUCUGGCUGCCCUAUGUGGCAGGACCAUGCUUAUCCACACUGAUCCAAGCAAUGGCUUUUCAACGUGGUUUUAGAAACUACUCCAGGGCAAGAAAGGCCACAGACUCAGUGGUGGUUCUUUUGCCUCUAACUAGUUGCCAGCUUCAGCCCUCUUUGUUGUCCUUUAGGCAAAUGCAUUUUGUCUCCAAAUACUCUUGGGUCAGGGUCCCUUUUAGAGGAGUAUGCCCUGAAGGGCUACUUUAUUUCCCUACCACUGUUACAAAGUUAUGCAGAGCACAGCAUUUAGGUGAAAUUUGCUGUUGCGUUGGUUUAUAAAAUUGUUUUGUAUUAGUUUUAAGAUCUAUUCCAAUUUGAUUUCCAGCAAAUGCAUUGCUGUUUGAGUCUGUUUUACUCACCAUUAUUCUUAUUUAAACCUGUAGAGGUUUGGAGAAAACAGAAAACUUUCAUAUUAUUUAAUAAAGUGAGAGCUAGCAAGCCUAAAGCAGUGCAUUGUAUUGACAGCCAGCUGCAUCCCAUGUGAAUCUGCAAACUGAUGCUGAGCAAGCAGAAGUUAAAUAGUACAUAGAUUUGUUUCUCACCACCCUCUCUGCUUGAUUGCUGGACAGGGGAUUACGCCGUUUGACAAGGAUCUUUAGGUUAGAAAAUACUGCAACAGCAGAGCACAAGACAGAAAUUACUCUGCAGAGGACUUUGAGGGUUUUUUGGUGUUUUGGUUUGGGUUUGGUUGUUUUGGGAUUGAAAAGAGGAGCCAAAAGGAAGUCUCCUGGCUAUAAAAAAACCCAGAUCUCAUUCUGUCCCUCUUCUCCUACACCCUUCACUUCUAUCUAACUGUAUAAAUCUGUUGUUGUGUUUCUACACAUCUUUGGUGGGAGAUGGGAAAAAACCCAACCCUGGAAGAAGCAGAAAAGUACAGUGCAACCAGUAAGACAAAAUGAACACUGAAUAGUCACUUGUUGAUGGCUGAUGGUUCAUUUGGAAACUGAACGAAAACCGGAUGUAGGCUUCUGUGGACAGCUGAGCUCCUGCAGCCUAUACCAACCCCAGGAUACACUUGGUCAUUUGUGAAAUUCAUCUAUGUAGCCAUGAGGCUCAGUGGCUUAAUUUAUUUGAUACAAGAUCAGAAUCUCCUUGAAAUUCCCUGACUAGAGGAUCUUGGAUCUUAAUUAAAAGCCCAGUUGUUGAGAUGCUACAUCCUCUACCUAAAAGAAUUAAAGGUGCACAGAAGUGCAGAGUUGCAGACAUAGCUCCACAAUGGAAAAAAGGAUAAAAAAAGGAAAGGUACAAGAGUUGCAUCCACACACACUGCCUGGCUGUUAAUGAAACACAAGAGAAAACAGUGUGCAGUAGAGCUGGCUCACUGCUAUCAGAUAUGGUGGGGAAGUAGGUCCCUGAAGGGAGUGACAUGGCAUCGUUCUGCUUUGGUGCAACCGCCCCAUCGGCAGCCCCAUCCUGUGCAUAGUAGGACUCUCUGGCGUUGUCCUUGAUGUACUGAGCUUCCACCGAGGAGAGGAAAUCCACUUCGCCUUCUUUGCUUAAAGUUUCAAGGUGUACUUCGGCAAUGACUGGUCUCCAGAUGGGAUGCAAAUGCCAAGCUGAUUAGAUUGCUUAUCUGAGAGGCACCCACCUCACCCCUAGGGCAUACGAAGGAUUCAAGUCCAAUUACCAGGGCCCUCCGAUUUGGUUGCAUUUCCCUCGCUGUCGCAUCCUGUGAAGUGUGAGUGAGGAACGCACUCAAGCAGAAGCUGGCUGCAGCUUCUGGAGUCACGUUGCAGCUCGGCUGCUGUGUCAUUAGCAGGACGGCGCUGCAGGUUCGCAGCGGGGCGAGAGGCGCAGCGCCUGCGGGGAGCCAGGCGGACUGGCAUGACUGCGCUUGGCUCUGGUGCCAUGGCUCUGGAGGGGAGUGCAGGGCUGCGGAACGUGCCGUGCUGGGCUCUUGCGCCGAGGUGUGGGCUGCGUUUGUCUGAACGUCUGAACCAGGAGGGGCCCCGGACCAGCACGCUCAGGAGACAGACGUCUUCAACGCUGCCCAGAGUGACACAGGCACAGGUAGCUUUCUAGAUUCCGGAUCUCUCUGUAUGCUAGAUGCUUUAUAGGGGUAAAGCCCCAAAAACCAUAUAUAUAUAUGGAUCAUAUAUACAUAUAUAUGAAAAGAGAAGAGGGUAUGAAAUGGUUCUGAUCUUAAUGCCAGUGUGACAGGACGGGAAGCACACAGAGGUGGUGGUGAGGCCUGCUGCUCAGCUCGUGGUGUGACUUUAAAAACUAUCCUGUCCCUACCCUGACAUCCGCUCGCAGCUGUCAGACACGGCCAAAAGUCACUAAUUAUCUACUGACCUGUGCUGGGCAAUUAUGCAGAAAAUGAUGCUGCCUAAUUAACCUGCCGUGCCAGAUCGCGCCCUGUCAAGGCCAAUCAGGGCUUCUCUGUGCUCAUGAGGGCCAUCACCCCCUGUCCCGAUCGGGAGCUGUGGUUUCAUUUCAGGUCACACAUGGUUACCCCAGUGCUCCAUACAGUCACCCUGGUCCCCACAUGGUCACGGCAGUGCCACAUGCAGGUCACCCAAGGUUGUCAUCAUGGGGCUUCACAGUGUCACACCAGGGAACUGCCACUGUCACCCUGAGGUCCCAUAUGGUCAGUCCCACGUCCCACACAGCCACUACAGAAUUCCACACUCUAACUAGCUGGACCCACA
This is a long non-coding RNA of Pogoniulus pusillus (Red-fronted tinkerbird), 3443 nucleotides long. RefSeq lists it as uncharacterized. NCBI's taxonomy places the organism in Eukaryota, Metazoa, Chordata, Aves, Piciformes, Lybiidae. The transcript is spliced from 8 exons. The record is from RefSeq and is a predicted model, not a curated record.